GUGACUGCGUACCUUUUGUAUAAUGGGUCAGCGACUUAUAUUCUGUAGCAAGGUUAACCGUAUAGGGGAGCCGCAGGGAAACCGAGUCUUAACUGGGCGUUAAGUUGCAGGGUAUAGACCCGAAACCCGGUGAUCUAGCCAUGGGCAGGUUGAAGGUUGGGUAACACUAACUGGAGGACCGAACCGACUAAUGUUGAAAAAUUAGCGGAUGACUUGUGGCUGGGGGUGAAAGGCCAAUCAAACCGGGAGAUAGCUGGUUCUCCCCGAAAGCUAUUUAGGUAGCGCCUCGUGAACUCAUCUUCGGGGGUAGAGCACUGUUUCGGCUAGGGGGUCAUCCCGACUUACCAACCCGAUGCAAACUACGAAUACCGAAGAAUGUUAUCACGGGAGACACACGGCGGGUGCUAACGUCCGUCGUGAAGAGGGAAACAACCCAGACCGCCAGCUAAGGUCCCAAAGUCAUGGUUAAGUGGGAAACGAUGUGGGAAGGCACAGACAGCCAGGAUGUUGGCUUAGAAGCAGCCAUCAUUUAAAGAAAGCGUAAUAGCUCACUGGUCGAGUCGGCCUGCGCGGAAGAUGUAACGGGGCUAAACCAUGCACCGAAGCUGCGGCAGCGACGCUUAUGCGUUGUUGGGUAGGGGAGCGUUCUGUAAGCCUGCGAAGGUGACCUGUGAGGGUUGCUGGAGGUAUCAGAAGUGCGAAUGCUGACAUAAGUAACGAUAAAGCGGGUGAAAAGCCCGCUCGCCGGAAGACCAAGGGUUCCUGUCCAACGUUAAUCGGGGCAGGGUGAGUCGACCCCUAAGGCGAGGCCGAAAGGCGUAGUCGAUGGGAAACAGGUUAAUAUUCCUGUACUUGGUGUUACUGCGAAGGGGGGACGGAGAAGGCUAUGUUAGCCGGGCGACGGUUGUCCCGGUUUAAGCAUGUAGGCUGGUUAUCCAGGCAAAUCCGGAUAAUCAAGGCUGAGGUGUGAUGACGAGGCACUACGGUGCUGAAGUAACAAAUGCCCUGCUUCCAGGAAAAGCCUCUAAGCAUCAGGUAACACGAAAUCGUACCCCAAACCGACACAGGUGGUCAGGUAGAGAAUACCAAGGCGCUUGAGAGAACUCGGGUGAAGGAACUAGGCAAAAUGGUGCCGUAACUUCGGGAGAAGGCACGCUGGUGUGUAGGUGAAGUCCCUGCGGAUGGAGCUGAGACCAGUCGAAGAUACCAGCUGGCUGCAACUGUUUAUUAAAAACACAGCACUGUGCAAACACGAAAGUGGACGUAUACGGUGUGACGCCUGCCCGGUGCCGGAAGGUUAAUUGAUGGGGUUAUCCGUAAGGAGAAGCUCUUGAUCGAAGCCCCGGUAAACGGCGGCCGUAACUAUAACGGUCCUAAGGUAGCGAAAUUCCUUGUCGGGUAAGUUCCGACCUGCACGAAUGGCGUAAUGAUGGCCAGGCUGUCUCCACCCGAGACUCAGUGAAAUUGAACUCGCUGUGAAGAUGCAGUGUACCCGCGGCAAGACGGAAAGACCCCGUGAACCUUUACUAUAGCUUGACACUGAACAUUGAGCCUUGAUGUGUAGGAUAGGUGGGAGGCUUUGAAGCGUGGACGCCAGUCUGCGUGGAGCCAACCUUGAAAUACCACCCUUUAAUGUUUGAUGUUCUAACGUUGGCCCCUUAUCGGGGUUGCGGACAGUGUCUGGUGGGUAGUUUGACUGGGGCGGUCUCCUCCCAAAGCGUAACGGAGGAGCACGAAGGUUAGCUAAUCCUGGUCGGACAUCAGGAGGUUAGUGCAAUGGCAUAAGCUAGCUUGACUGCGAGCGUGACGGCGCGAGCAGGUGCGAAAGCAGGUCAUAGUGAUCCGGUGGUUCUGAAUGGAAGGGCCAUCGCUCAACGGAUAAAAGGUACUCCGGGGAUAACAGGCUGAUACCGCCCAAGAGUUCAUAUCGACGGCGGUGUUUGGCACCUCGAUGUCGGCUCAUCACAUCCUGGGGCUGAAGUAGGUCCCAAGGGUAUGGCUGUUCGCCAUUUAAAGUGGUACGCGAGCUGGGUUUAGAACGUCGUGAGACAGUUCGGUCCCUAUCUGCCGUGGGCGCUGGAGAAUUGAGGGGGGCUGCUCCUAGUACGAGAGGACCGGAGUGGACGCAUCACUGGUGUUCGGGUUGUCAUGCCAAUGGCACUGCCCGGUAGCUAAAUGCGGAAGAGAUAAGUGCUGAAAGCAUCUAAGCACGAAACUUGCCCCGAGAUGAGUUCUCCCUGAGACUUUAAGUCUCCUGAAGGAACGUUGAAGACGACGACGUUGAUAGGCCGGGUGUGUAAGCGCAGCGAUGCGUUGAGCUAACCGGUACUAAUGAACCGUGAGGCUUAACCUU
RNAcentral lists this ribosomal RNA (2353 nucleotides) under Klebsiella quasipneumoniae subsp. similipneumoniae. RNAcentral's name for it is "partial 23S ribosomal RNA". It matches the Rfam family "Bacterial large subunit ribosomal RNA", at positions 593 to 2925 of the family's 2925-position model. Lineage: Bacteria; Pseudomonadati; Pseudomonadota; Gammaproteobacteria; Enterobacterales; Enterobacteriaceae. The record is from RNAcentral.